AGUGAACGCUGGCGGUAGGCCUAACACAUGCAAGUCGAACGGCAGCACAGUAAGAGCUUGCUCUUACGGGUGGCGAGUGGCGGACGGGUGAGGAAUACAUCGGAAUCUACUUUUUCGUGGGGGAUAACGUAGGGAAACUUACGCUAAUACCGCAUACGACCUACGGGUGAAAGCAGGGGAUCUUCGGACCUUGCGCGAUUGAAUGAGCCGAUGUCGGAUUAGCUAGUUGGCGGGGUAAAGGCCCACCAAGGCGACGUUCCGUAGCUGGUCUGAGAGGAUGAUCAGCCACACGGGAAAUGGGACACGGUCCCGACUCCUACGGGAGGCAGGAGUGGGGAAUAUUGGACAAUGGGCGGAAGCCUGAUCCAGCCAAUCCGCGUGGGUGAAGAAGGGCUUCGGGUUGUAAAGCCCUUUUGUUGGGGAAGAAAAGCAGCAGGUUAAUACCCCGCUGUUCUGACGGUACCCAAAGAAUAAGCACCGGCUAACUUCGUG
This 492-nucleotide ribosomal RNA is filed under the name uncultured bacterium. Its description in RNAcentral is "partial 16S ribosomal RNA". It matches the Rfam family "Bacterial small subunit ribosomal RNA", at positions 29 to 507 of the family's 1533-position model. The record is from RNAcentral.